RNAcentral lists this transfer RNA (303 nucleotides) under Komagataeibacter xylinus E25. Its description in RNAcentral is "tRNA-Und (NNN) (tRNA-Und-NNN-1-1)". The record is from RNAcentral. Lineage: Bacteria; Pseudomonadati; Pseudomonadota; Alphaproteobacteria; Acetobacterales; Acetobacteraceae.
GUCCGCGUAGCUCAGCCGGAUAGAGCACAGGAUUCCUGGUUUGCAAUUGGGCGUCACGACGGGAAACCACGUGGCGGAUCUGCUCAAAUUCGGGGAACGCUCUGGCGAAUGCCGUGCCAAUCCCGAGCCAAGGCCGGUUUUUCCGGCAAGGUGUAGAGACUGGAUGGGCAGCACCUGUCAACCGCUUGCGGUUUAUGGUGAAGGGACAGUCCAGACCACGAACGCCAUAUCCCUAUGGCGGCGGUGAAAGCCGAAGUGGUACGAAUCCUGGGGCCGUGGGUUCGAAUCCCGCCGCGGACACCA